GAUGAACGCUGACAGAAUGCUUAACACAUGCAAGUCAACUUGAAUUUGGGUUUUUAACUUAGGUUUGGGUGGCGGACGGGUGAGUAACGCGUAAAGAACUUGCCUCACAGCUAGGGACAACAUUUGGAAACGAAUGCUAAUACCUAAUAUUAUGAUAAUAGGGCAUCCUAUAAUUAUGAAAGCUAUAAGCGCUGUGAGAGAGCUUUGCGUCCCAUUAGCUAGUUGGAGAGGUAACGGCUCACCAAGGCGAUGAUGGGUAGCCGGUCUGAGAGGGUGAUCGGCCACAAGGGGACUGAGACACGGCCCUUACUCCUACGGGAGGCAGCAGUGGGGAAUAUUGGACAAUGGACCGAGAGUCUGAUCCAGCAAUUCUGUGUGCACGAUGAAGUUUUUCGGAAUGUAAAGUGCUUUCAGUUGGGAAGAAACAAAUGACGGUACCAACAGAAGAAGUGACGGCUAAAUACGU
RNAcentral lists this ribosomal RNA (466 nucleotides) under uncultured bacterium. RNAcentral's name for it is "partial 16S ribosomal RNA". It matches the Rfam family "Bacterial small subunit ribosomal RNA", at positions 28 to 506 of the family's 1533-position model. The record is from RNAcentral.